GAGGCCAGCAUCGAGCGUUGUUGGCACAAGCGCCCUGAUUCAUGUCCGAGGCUGUCGUGCGCGCCGAGCGGGAGCUGUGCGCGUACGUGGUGGCACUCCAGAAUGUGCUGCAGGCCGCAACUGAGGAUGCCAUGCCGCAGAGCCUGUGGGACGGCGCCAGAGAGAAAGACGACGAGGUGGGUGAACCUGCUGCCGAUGGAAACCAUCACGGCGGAAUGCCGGACACGUUGAUUCAACAGGUAGAGCGUGAAACAGCACUUGAGCGGCGCCGCAUUCACGAGCUUGUGCGCCGGCAUCUGGCGCCGCAGCGGGCUGCCCUCCGUGCGGCCAUUGUACAGCUCGGUGGUGGUCAGGAUGCUUCCGGGAACAUCAUCGAUGUUCCGGUAGCGUUGCUCGAUCAGGAAAUCGCGGCCGCGGCCACCGAAAGCGCGGAGCUGGGCCGGCGCAUGGUGGAGCUGUACGACGAGGCGGCGCUGCUCGCCACGCGAAUUGAGGCGGAGGUGAUGAGCAAGUCGGUGCCACCCCUGUAGAGAAUCUCCCUCCCUCCUGUCCGGUGGCGCACGAGGAGAGAGAUACAUGAGGGCUGGUUCUGCGGCAGCUGAGGUGCCGCGACUCCUCUCGUUCUUUUUUUUGGUGCCUGUGAAAGGACGUCGAAAAUCUGCUUAGACAUUCACAUCCACAUAAGCAAACCACAAAGAAAUGUGGCGUGCUCCCAUGCUGUGCCUGUGCCUCUGCACAGCUCUCCGCCCGCUAUAAUCAUAAAUGUCUCGCCGCGGGCCACACCUAUCCGACUGGAGGAUAGGUGGAGAAGGAGGCAUCAACUCCCGUCAUCAAGGCCGCGUAGUGCAGAGAGGAGAAGAAUAGUAAAACAAAGAACCGACGAGUCACAGGUGCGCGAGGCGGCCACCAUGAUCUGCGUUUGAGUACGCGCUUCUUCAUGUCUGUACAAG
Molecule: unclassified non-coding RNA, 950 nt
Filed under: Leishmania donovani
Lineage: Eukaryota; Euglenozoa; Kinetoplastea; Trypanosomatida; Trypanosomatidae
Description: gene:LdHU3.25.0770(CDS-product:hypothetical_prote in_conserved)
Source: RNAcentral